UCUUUAAUGGAGAGUUUGAUCCUGGCUCAGGACGAACGCUGGCGGCGUGCCUAAUACAUGCA
RNAcentral lists this ribosomal RNA (62 nucleotides) under Paenibacillus peoriae. RNAcentral's name for it is "partial 16S ribosomal RNA". It matches the Rfam family "Bacterial small subunit ribosomal RNA", at positions 1 to 59 of the family's 1533-position model. Lineage: Bacteria; Bacillati; Bacillota; Bacilli; Caryophanales; Paenibacillaceae. RNAcentral also lists the same sequence under 2 other names. The record is from RNAcentral.